RNAcentral lists this ribosomal RNA (400 nucleotides) under uncultured bacterium. RNAcentral describes it as "bacterial SSU rRNA". It matches the Rfam family "Bacterial small subunit ribosomal RNA", at positions 356 to 774 of the family's 1533-position model. The record is from RNAcentral.
CGGGAAUUUUGCUCAAUGGGCGCAAGCCUGAAGCAGCAACGCCGCGUGAGGGAUGAAGGCCUUCGGGUUGUAAACCUCUUUUCUCAGGGACGAUGAUGACGGUACCUGAGGAAUAAGUCACGGCUAACUACGUGCCAGCAGCCGCGGUAAUACGUAGGUGACCAGCGUUGUCCGGAUUUACUGGGCGUAAAGAGCGCGCAGGCGGUCGUUCAAGUCGAGUGUGAAAGCCCCCGGCUCAACUGGGGAGGUCACUCGAUACUGAUCGACUUGAAGGCAGGAGAGGGCAGCGGAAUUCCCGGUGUAGUGGUGAAAUGCGUAGAUAUCGGGAGGAACACCAGUGGCGAAGGCGGCUUCCUGGCCUGUUCUUGACGCUGAGGCGCGAAAGCUAGGGGAGCAAACG